RNAcentral lists this ribosomal RNA (253 nucleotides) under uncultured bacterium. RNAcentral's name for it is "partial 16S ribosomal RNA". It matches the Rfam family "Bacterial small subunit ribosomal RNA", at positions 524 to 776 of the family's 1533-position model. The record is from RNAcentral.
UACAGAGGUCCCGAGCGUUGUUCGGAUUCAUUGGGCGUAAAGGGUGCGUAGGCGGCGAGCUACGUUUGGUGUGAAAUCCUGGGGCUCAACCCCAGAAUUGCACUGAAUACUGGUUUGCUAGAGGACUGGAGAGGAGAUUGGAAUUCACGGUGUAGCAGUGAAAUGCGUAGAUAUCGUGAGGAAGACCAGUGGCGAAGGCGAAUCUCUGGACAGUUCCUGACGCUGAGGCACGAAGGCUAGGGGAGCAAACGGG